Molecule: ribosomal RNA, 231 nt
Filed under: uncultured bacterium
Lineage: Bacteria
Description: partial 16S ribosomal RNA
Rfam family: Bacterial small subunit ribosomal RNA
Source: RNAcentral
GCAACCGGCGAACGAGGUAGUAACACGUAGAUAUGUACCCUUUAGUUGGGCAUAGCUAAUCGAAAGGUUAGGUAAUUCCCAAUAGUCUCGUAAGAGUAAAGAUUUAUCGCUAAAGGAACAGUCUGCGGCCUAUCAGCUAGUUGGUGAGGUAAAAGCUCACCAAGGCGAUGACGGGUAGGGGGGGUGAGAGCCUGAUCCCCACCGAUGGAACUGAGACACGGUCCAUACUCC